UAUGGGUCUCUAAGGGUGGGAGGGUUGCAGGAGGGGGUCUGGUUUUAACUGGGAAUCCCAAAGCCAGAGCUAUGCCUAAAGUUAGUGGGUGUGGAUUCCUGAGAAAUCUCCUCAUCAUUACAAAGCAUUUACUGAGCCAUAUUAAUUUCUCGUGAAGGAGUGUUUCUGGAAAUGAGAUUUAGAAGGUGUGGGAGAAUUAUUUUCUGGGUGAGUGGCUGAAGCAGCAGCAUACUAUGGUAAGGUGAUCAACUGUCCUGAUUUGCCUGGGACUGUACCAACUUUUGCAAUAAAAUUCAGUCCCCCUUUCAGAGUACCCAGGACUCGGCUCAUAUGCCAGCUCCCUGUAAAGGCCUUUCCUGACCAUUAUCUGAGAUACCCUGUCCCCAGUGCUCACAUCCUGUUCCCUCAGAAGGAAUUUCUCCAUAACACUUAUCCUUCCUUGCAGUCAUCUUGCUUAUUUGUUUAUUGUCUCUUAUCCAAAACUAGAAUAUAAGCUCCAGGAAGGCAGGGACUUUGGCUUCUCACUAUUGUGUUCCCAGUGCAUAGAACAGGGCCAGGCACACAGAAGGUGCUCAUUAUAUGUUCUUUUUUUAAUGCCCCGAUCCCACCUCCUCCCUCCCAUUAUAUAUUUGUUGAGUGAGUGAAAAAAAAUAUAUAUAUAUUUUGUUUCAAGUACUGUGCUAAGCUCUGAUUAUACAAUGGUGAGAAAAAACAGAAAUGGUCUUUGUACUCAUGAAGCAUAGUAGAGGAGAAAUACAUUAAUGACAUAUUUCUACCUACACAAGUAAAAUUAUACCCGGGAUGAAUGAAUGGCUGAAUAGGGGCCUGAAGGAGAGGAGCUGAUGCUAUAAGAAGAUAGGAUGCUGGAUGGAGUUGGCGGCCCAGUGACAGCGAAGGCUUGUCUAAGGAAGUAAUGAUUGAGUUGAGUCUAAAGGAUGAAGAAGAAAAUGCUUUCUAGGAAGUGGGAACUGCACAUGCAGAUGCCCUGCAGCAGAAUGGAGCAGGAGUGUAUGGAAAACCACAAGCAGGCCCUGUGGUUGCAGUGCCCAGAGCAAGAUGACUCAUGACGUUGAGGGCAAGAGCUGAGAGGCAGGUACAGGCAAGCCAUCCAGGACCUUGUACAUUGGAGACCUUGCUGAAGAUUUGGCUGUUUUUCCUAAGAAUGAAUGGUGAGAAAUCACUGAAGGGUUUUAAGUAUGUGUGUAUUUGUGUGUGUAUGUCAAUCAGUCUUUGCCGUGACCUUUCCGUAGAUUAUCAGGGCUCCUCCAUCCAAGUGGCUAAAGGAUUAAAUAGUUAAAAUUAAUUAGGAAAAGGACAAUGAAAAUGUUAACAAUUAUUAGCUCUUAUAGUCUUAGUUCUCUUCUGUCUUCUGCUGGACUAAAUAUGGCAUUAAGGACAAAAGGGUGGGGAGCAAAGCUUAAGGCCAAAUAGAUUUUUGAGGAAUCUUUCUAGAGCUUGGUACUCAAUGAAGAACAUAAACUGCGAAGCUAGUGUAUUCAAAGCACUCUUCUAGGCUCUGUGGGCAGAGACUAAGGAAACCACAAGAAUGUUCUUCCCCCUUAGGGAGCUUAGAUAUUAAAUAAGAGGUAUGAAAAUGAGAGCACAGGACAGACCCAGGAACAGUUCAACAAAUACUGCUACUGAGAUACCCGGCACAUGGUGAUAUACAGCCUCCCCUGAGCAAAGUCCAUGUCUGAGUCAUUUCUGUUCCUCCCACAGACAUUAGCCAAGUGCCUUGCCCACAAGAUGCACCAAAUGAAUGAAGCUGAGGCUGCUCACUUAAGGAGAGAAAAGCAAUUAGUCAGUAGACAAGCCAGGCCUCUAGUGACACUUCCAUUAUACAAAUGCUUCUAACAGAAUGUAAGCUCCAUGAAGACAGAACUUUGUGUCCCUUUUUGGUUGUCCACUGGUGUGUCUUUGAUGCCUAGUACAUUGUCGUUCAACAGUAUUUGUUGAGUAAAGAAUUUAUUAGCUUACGUUAGAGCCUGUGUAAUGUUAGAGGACUUUGUGAGGAAUGGGUUAAGUAAAUUAAUUUUCCCUCCAUAUGAUGGGGGGUACUAGUCAGCAUCUAGAGCAUGUCAUGGAAGAAGUCUUACUGAUGAGGCAGUGUAGCAAAAGCACAGGCCAUGGAGGCCAAGUGCCUGCAGCAGAAGCCUGGUUCUGCCACUCCCAGUGGUGUGACUUUGGGGAGCUUAUUAUUUAAUCUCUCUGUAAUGCUGUUUCCUCAACUGUGAAAUGGGUAUAAGACUGCACACCUUUGAAGUCUUAUGAGAACUAAUGAGGUAAUGCAUACUGAGUUCAUGUAUGUAGGGUAUGUAGGGCAGUGCUUGAUUCAGAGUAAAUACCUCGUGAAUAUUAGUUUAAAGUGCUUUACAUAUAUUGACUUUUUAAAUCCUCACAACAACCCUCGGAAGUAUUAUCAUGAUCCCCAUUUUAUAGCAAGUGAUACAUAACAGUAAUUUCCUUGAAUGUGAUAGGUAGAAAUUGGAGGGUUUUGAGGAAAGGCAUAACAUGAUCUAAUUUAUAGUUUCACAAGAUUCCUGUAUCUGUUAUAUGAAAACAGACUGAGGAGAGUGGAGGGGAGUGAGGACAGAACCAAGGAUACCACUUAGGAAACUCCAGCAAGAAUCCAGGCGAGUUUUAAUGCUGUCUUGCCUCAGGGCAGUGGUUGGUGGUGUAAAAACCAUCUGAUUUACAUUAUCUUUUGAAGACAGAAUUCAAAGGAUUUGCUGAUGGAAUGGAAAGACGGGAGGUAUGAAAGAGAUGAGUCAUGAAUGCCUCUACUAUUUUGGAUCCAAUCAACCAAAAGGAUGAAAUUGCUAUUAGCUAAACCAGGAAAGACUGCAGGCGGAGAGAGGUGAGGAAGCUGCAGAAUUUGGAAGCCAGCAGAAGUCGGUUCAUGAGGUUUAAGGAAAGAAGAAAUCUCCGUAGCAUAAAAGUCCAAAGUGAACGAAGUGCUAUGUUGAAGCUGUAGCAAGUUCUCCAGAAGAUCUAGGUAAGAUUAUUGAUGAAGGGAGCUACAUGAAAUAACAGAGUUUCAGUGUUGAUGAAACACCCCUAUAUUGGCAAAAGAUGCCAUGUAGGACUUUCAUGGCUAAAGAGAAGUCAAUGCCUGGCUUCAAAGCUUCAAAGGACAGGCUGACUCUCUUGUUAGGGUCUAAUGCAGCUGGUGAUUUUAAAGUUGAAGCCAGUGUACAUUCACCAUUCUGAAAAUCCUAGGGCCCUUAAGAAUUAUGCUAGAUCUACUCUGCCCGUGCUCUAGAAAUAGAACAACAAAGCCUGGAUGACAGCAAUGUUUACAACGUGGUUUGCUGAGGUUUUUUUGCUUUUUUGUAUUUUUAGUACAGAUGGGGUCUCACCAUGUUGCCCAGGUUGUUCUCAAACUCCUGAGCUCAAGCAGUCCCUGCCUCAGCCUUCCAAAGUGCUGGGAUUACAGGCGGGAGCCAUGGUGCCCAGCUGGCUUACUGAGUAUUUUAAGCCUACUGUUGAGAGCUACUGCUCAGAAAAAAAAAGAUUCCUUUCAAAAUAUUACUGCUCAGUGACAGUGCUCAAUGAAUUAGUCAACUACUCUGAUGGAGAUAUACAGGGAGAUGAAUGUUGUUUUCAUCUCUGCUAACACAGUGUCCAUUCUGAAGCCCAUAGAUGGAGUAAUUUCGACUUUCAAGUCUUAUUAUUUAAGAAAUACAUUUCAUGGGAGGCCGAGGCAGGUGGAUCAUGAGGUCAAGAGUUCGAGACCAUCCUGGUCAACAAGGUGAAACCCCGUCUCUACUACAAAUACAAAAAAUUAGCUGGGCAUGGUGGCGCAUGCCUGUAAUCCCAGCUACUCGGGAGGCUGAGGCAGGAGAAUUGCCUGAACCCAGGAGGUGGAGGUUGUGGUGAGCCGAGAUUGCGCCAUUGCACUCCAGCCUGGGUAACAAGAGCGAAACUCCAUAUCAAAAAAAAAAAAAAAAAAAGAAAGAAAUGAAUUUCAUAAGGCUAUAACUGCCAUAGUAAUUUCUCUGAGGGAUCUGGGCAAAGUCAAUUAAAACCUUUUUGAUAAAGAUUCAUCAUUCUAGAUGUCAUUCGGAACAGUUUUUAUUCGCAGGAGGAAGUCAAAAUAUCAACAUUAACAGGAGUUUGGAGGAAGUUGACUCCAAUCCUCACAGAUGACUUUGAGGGGUUUAAGACUUCAGUGAGUGAAGUAACUGCAGAUGUGGUGAAAAGAGCAAGAGAACUAAAAUUAGAAGUGGAGCUUGAAGAUGUAACAGAAUUGCUGCAAUCUCAUGGUAAAACCUAAACAGAUAAGGAGUUGCUUCUUAUGAAUAAGCAAAGAAAGCUUUUUCUUUCUUUCUCCCUUUCCUUUUCUUUUUCUUUCUCUCACUCUCUGUCUCGUUCUCUCUCACACACACUUGUGCGCGCGUGCUCUCUCUCUCUUUCUUUCUUUCUUUUUUUUCUUUUCAAGACAGAGCCUUGAUCUGUUGUUCAGGCUGGAGUGCUGUGGCAUGAUCUUAGCUCACUGCAAACUCCACCUCCCGGGCUCAGGUUCAGGUGAUCCUCCCAUCUCAACCUCUCAAGUAACAGGGAUAACAGGCAUGUGCCACCACACCUGGCUAAUUUUUGUACUUUUUUGAGACAGAGUUUUACCCCAUUACCCAGGCUAGUCUUGGACCCCUGGGUUCAAGCAAUCCACCCACCUUGGCCUCCCAAAGUUCUGGGAUUACAGGUGUGAGCCACCGUGCCAAAUUGAAAAUGGUUUCUUGAGAUGGCCUCCUUAUGAAGGUGCUCCUUAUGAAGGUGCUAUGAACAUUGUUAACAUGACAACAAAGGAUUUAGAGUUUAGUUGAUAAAGCAGCAGCAGGGUUUGAGAGGAUUAACUCUAAUUUUGAAAGAAGUUAUGCUGUGAGUAAAAUGCUAUCAUACAGCAUCUCAUGUUACAGAAAGGGAAAGUCCAUUGUUGUGGCAACUUCAUUGUUGUCUUAUUUUAAGAAAUUGCCAAAAUCACCCCAACAUUUGGCAACUACCAGCCUGAUUAGUCAGCAGCUAUCAGCAUCCAGACAAGACCCUCCACCAGCAAAAAUAUUAUAUGACUUGCCGAAGGCUCAGAUUGUUCAGACAUUUUUGAACAAUAAAGUGUUUUUUAGUUAAAGUAUGUACAUUUUUUUAAAGACAUAACGCUAUUGCAUUCUUUUUUUUUUUGAGAUGGAGUCUUGCACUGUUGCCCAGGCUGGAGUGCAGUGGUACAAUCUCAGCUCACUGCAACUCCAUCUCCUGAGUUCAAGCUAUUCUCCUGCCUCAGUCCCCUGAGUAGCUGGGAUUACAGGCACCUGGCACCAUGCCCAGCUAAUUUUCAUAUUUUUAGUAGGGACAGGGUUUUCAACAUGUUGGCCAGGCACAUUGCAUUCUUAGUAGACUGCAGUAUAGUGUAAACAUAAAUUUUAUAUAUAUUGGGGAACCAAAACAUUUGUGUGACUUGCUUUAUUGUGAUAGUCACUUUAUUGCAAUGGCUGGAACUGAACAGUAUCGCUAAGGUAUGCCUGUAUAUGUGAUGGUGCUUGAGAUGCCAAGCCCUUGGAUGAUGGAUGAUGUGAAGUCGUGGGCCUCAAGGGGCUCAUGACCCUUACAGUCUGCCCUGAAAUGAAGUACAGCUUCUUCCCUUAGGGACCAACUCAAAAUGGCCUGAGGUUAUCCCUGUGGCUAGGCUGGGCCACUGGGGCUGGAUGCUGGAAUUGGAAGAAGGACCCUGGGGAGGAAGCCUCAGGGAAUAUUCAGGGGACAGAAGCUCCCAGGUUUCUUCAUGGUCUUGUUUCGACUUAGUACUCCAGGUAGGAAAGAAACCAAAGGGAGGUAGCACAAGGUAAGCAAAAGUUAGCUGAUGAUGUAGGUUAUCCACACGUUUUAAGAAAAUUUCCUGGCUGGGCGUGGUGGCUCACGCCUAUAAUCCCAGCACUUUCAGAGGCUGAGGUGGGCUGAUCACCUGAGAUCAGGAGUUUGAGACCUACCUGGUCCAACAUGGUGAAACCUUGUCUCUACUAAAAAUACAAAACUUAGCUGGGUAUGGUGGCAGGCACCUGUAAUCCCAGCUACUAAGAAGGCUGAGGCAGGAGAAUCACUUGAACCCAGAAGGCGGAGGUUGCAGUGAACAGAGAUCGUGCCAUUGCACUCCAGCCUGGGUGACAAGAGUGAGGUUACAUCUCAAAAAUAAAUAAAUAAAUAAAGGAAAAAAGAAAAUUCCCUAGGUUUUAUAGCUCACUCCAAUGGGCCAAACAUGUUUCAUUAAUUUUGAAAAUAACCCACUUUUAAGAACAAAUUUACCCUGUUCUGAAAUGCACAGUUAUUUAUAGGAGAAGCUCAGCACUUCAGGACUACAAAAUGGACUAGGAGAUGAGAAAAGCCUGGUUUGGCUAAGAUGGAUGACAGGCAACCUCACAAAUGGAAAUAUAUUCCCACUCAUUCUAUUAAUGGUGUGCAAGAAAACUUGAGGUCCUUGUUGACACUUAUGGUAUAUAGAUGACACGGGCCCCACCCCUACUGUGAAGAUCAGAGUGAAGAAUUUCCCAGCCUUGCCACCAUUUAAACAAUGUCUUAGUUUCUCUCUCCCUCUUUCUCCACUCUCUGCAUGUGGGUGCACAUGUGGGUGUGCAUGUGUUGGGGAGGUGGCUUAAGGAUUUCAAAGAAUAUGCUGGUAGUAGUUUUAGGAGUAAGUCAUAUAAUUGUUGUGUUUCUUCUUCUAGCUUUAAGGAGGAAAAUUCAGGGGAAGAGAUUAUUAAUUCCAGUUUGAAAAGUGCUUUGAGAUCCUCUAAUGAAGGGUUUUAGAAGUAUGAACAUGUUUCCUGAAUGUGUGCUUACAACAUCUAAUGUCUAGCUGGAGUGCAGACAUCUACACCAGCAGCAAGCAGUCACCUACCGCAGGAACUGACCGGGAGGCAGCAGCGUGUGCUAGUUAAACUUCCGACUCCAGAUCCAGCUUGAAUUCCUGAUCUGCUGCUCCCACCCUCAUGACUUUAGGCAAGUUACUCAACUCCUCCAAAUCACAACUUCCUCAUCUGUGAAACAGGAUAGGGUUAUUAUCCUUUCUGUGUUACUGUGAGAAUUAAAAGUAUAAUUAUAUAUAAUGCUUACAAUAGGAUGUGAUGCAUAAGAAGCACCAGAUAAGUACUUGCUGCUGCUUCUAUCAUCAUUAUCAUUAUCUUCUAAGAAACCGUAGGCUGAUUUAAAGCAAAUUAUUAUAAUUAUUUCUGUAACUAUUAUUAAUAAGGCCUCCUAAAGAAAUUAAGGUUGCUUUAAAGCAAAAUACUCAAGAGGAUAGAAUUAUUUUUGGUGCUCUCCUACUUCUAUUCUUAGCUUCUCUCUUUUCCUUUUAGUUUUUCCAAAUUUUUGAUAGCGUACUCAAGGUUUUAGUAAUGUGGCUGGUCACAGUGGCUCAUGCCUGUAAUCCUAGCACUUUGGGAGGCUGAGGUGGGAGGAUCGCUUGAGCCCAAGAGUUUGAGACCAGCCUGGGCAAUACAGUGAGACUCCAUCUCUCUCUCAAAAAAAAAUUAGUGAUGUGUAAAACAUAUCCUCUAUCAGUGUAACUAAUUUAGUCACACAUACAUACGGGUUUUAAUUCAUACUUUUAAAGGACACUGGAAGCUUGAAUUUUUUUUCUGAAAAACAAAUAGAUCUUAUAGACUUCUAGAACUUUGAAACUGGAUUUCAGGGAACGUCUAGUUCAACUCCACAGUAGGCAAAUGAUUCAUCUUUAGAGAUAGGAGUGACUGGUUAGUGGCAGAGUGGGCCCAGAGUCUUAGGUUAAGCUAGACAACUAAGAGCCGUGAACAUGUGGCGCAUGGUGUGGCUUCUCGUACACCUGUUUCCACUGAACUGCACUGUGACAAUAUACCAGGAAAGGAUCAGACUGUCUGCAAACCCAUUACUUUAUGCACUGAAGAGGGGUGUUGCUAAGGGCGAUAUCCUGAUCCUCUUUAUGAAUACUCUUGAGGAGCAGUAUUGAAAAUAGUUAUUGCUUUUGGAACAACUGUUUUUUUUCUUUAAUUUUUUUGUUAUUUAAAAAAGUAUUAUUAUUUUGAUUACCAAAUCAUAGUUACAUACAAAACCAGUUUGUUUUCAUUGGAUGAACACCAUGAACUUUUAAUCUAUUAAUGUAUCACAUUUUUGUGUUGGCUACUAGGAAGCUCAAGGACAAAUUUACAUUCUGUGUCUGUGGUUAGAAGCCAAAAGCUUCCACAAAUUGCAGUUAUAUAUUAGCGCUGAACACCUUGUAGCCAGCUUUCCUAAACUUUGAUCUAUUAAAAAAGGGAGUGUUGGAGCCCUUUCCAUUGUAUGCUUUACUUUUUUCUUGGAUAUUCAUGGUGUACACAUUAGCAUCUUAAAGGUUCUGGGAAGUCUGACAGUUUUAAAUAAAAACAAAAGAGCUUUAAAGGUUUGUUCAGCCUUGUACUUGUAAAACUUACCUGAUUACAUAAUCUUUAAAAAUAUUAUCUCAAGCCGUGCAUGGUGGCUCACACCUGUAAUCCCAGCACUUUGGGAGGCCCAGGAGGCAGAUCACGAGGUCAGGAGACUGAGACCAUCCUGGCUAACAUGUCUCUACUGAAAAUACAAAAAAUCAGCCAGGCGUGGUGGUGCGUGCCUGUAGUCCCAACUACUUGGGAGGCUGAGGCAGGAGAAUCGCUUGAACCUGGGAGGUGGAGGUUGCAGUGAGCCAAGAUUGUGCCACUUCACUCCAACCUGGGUGACAGAGGGAGACUGUCUCAAAUAUAUAUAUAUAUAUUUUAUAUUUUAUAUAUAUAUAAAUAUAUAUAUAUUUUAUAUUUUAUAUAUAUAUAAAUAUAUGUAUACCCAGAAAUUUCUAGUUUUAUACAAAAUACAUUUCGGAAAAUACUACCUUUUAGUACUCUGUAAUCAAUUCCUGUUUAUUAUUAUUAAUUUUAUUAUUAUUUGAGAUGGAGUUUUGCUCUUGUUGCCAAGGCUGCAGUGCAGUGGCAUGAUCUCAGCUCAUUGCAACCUCUGCCUCCUCAGUUCAAGUGAUUCUCCUGACUCAGCCCCCUGAGUAGCUGGGAUUACAGGUGCCUGCCACCAUGCCUGGCUAAUUUUUUUGUGUUUUUAGUAGAGAUGGGGCUUCACCAUGUUGGCCAGGCUGGUCUCAAACUUCUGACCUCAGGUGAUCCACCUGCCUCGGCCUCCCAAAGUGCUGGAAUUAUAGGCAUAAGCCAUUGUGCCUGGCCAAAUCCUGUUUAUUAGAGUCAUGGCAGUACAAAGGUUGGUGAACUUGGUUCUUUCUAUUUCUGUGCAGCAGGAGGAAGUCCAGGACGUGUACACUGGACUAGAUACCUGAUGCGGCCACUGCUAGCUCUAAAAUUUUUGAUUCCCAAUUUAAAAAAUGAAGAAAGUUUUCAAGAAUGUGUGUUCCUCAAAUUUGGAAUUGCAGUUUGCUAAAGUAAAUACUAAAGUUAGAAAUUAAAACAUUGUAUACCAUUUCUGGCACUGUUUAUCCCAUCUAAUCUAAAAGAUUGUUUAAACAAUUAUGUUUAUAGAAACAACCUCCAGGAGUGUUUACAAAGACACAAAUUUUCUUUGAAAAGCAUCAGAGUAAAAAGAUGUAAGAUUUUCUUGAAACUCUGGUUUGGUAUAGAAUUUAUAACCCCUCCUUCUUGCUUGAUAAAGGCUUGUAUAAUGAGGUGAUGAAACUUCAUAGUGUAUCUUUCGGAGGCUGUUCAACUAGAUUUAUUAACUCAAGCAUGUGGCCCAUUCAGAGGCAACAUUGUUCAUUUAUGGAUGCUUUUGCCUGUAAAAUCCCUUCCUCUCCCUUCUCCAUUAAAACUAAAAAGAAACAACAAGGACCUCCAAUACAUACCUAAUUAUGUAUGGGAUAAUGGGUACACACUCCAGCCAUAUCCCUGGGCAUGUGCUUGAGACUUGUCCCAGAAAGCACAUCCAGCCUCUGGAGUUGUUCAUCGCCUAGACCAGUAAGCCAGACCUAAGGGGAAAUAGCAAAGCAAGGUCACCUGCAAGGAGAAGCGGCAGGCUGCAGGGAGAAAGGACUGGCUUUCACACCUGGUUCUUGGGUGACAUCCAGCUUCUUCAGCAGCCUGCUGGAUGUGUCACCACAAUCUCAAGUAGCUUUCAUUGCUUUUCUCUUUUUGUAUGCCCUUGUAAAGGGUGGGUGAGAUUUCAUUGCUUCUCUGGGCCACCUGUCUUGCUGAUUGUAUCUGUAUGUUGUUUUCUCCCUGUUUGAUGUGUAUGCAUUUAAUUCAGAUUGGAUGCCUACUAUGUGUCAGGCAUUAUGUCCCCAAAAUGCAUAUCUUCCCAUACUUGCCCUUGAGGAGCUAAUGAUAUAGAAGAGCACAUGGAUACCAGAAACAAUUUCCGUUCAUUGUGGCAAAGACUCCAGAAGAGCCAUGUGUAAAGACCAGAAGGUGACAUUUGAGUCAGGUCUUAGAGAAUGUGUUGGACACCCAUUUUUCCAUUAAUAGAAUUACUUUUUCUACUUAAUAGCACUAGCCUGCUAGAAAGAGAAGUAGAAGCCAAUAACUCGUUUUGGUUAACUCAGGAGACUGACAGAACCUAUUAGCUAAAGGCUAAACUCUUAUUUCAAGCAAUUCAGCAAAUAUUCAGGCCUUAAUCAUUUCAGUUAUUGGAGGACAGUGCCAUCUGGAAAGCGGACUCUCUGGAACUUACCCUCAAGUUUCCCUGAUGUAAAGAUAUUCUAGGAAUUGUGUUUGACUUUGGAAAUUCCUAGAAUUAGCUUUGCUUUAUGUUCAAUAGCCCUAAUUUCCCAAUCUUGUGGCAAACACUCAGAAAAUGAACCACAUACUUAAUGUUGCAAAGAUGAAAACAGAGAUCAUUACUGAAGAACCGGUUUUAAUUUAAAUUUCCAAAGUAAUUUUACAAAGUGCAAGAACAUGUGAAGUAAGCUGGCUCCUUGAGUUUGCAGUUCCUUGGAGAGCUGACACUGAAAGCUCAUAGCCUUCUUAGUGCCCAGUGGAAUUCUGUGAAUUUUUUUCAAGUUACUUCUAUGAGACAAACUCAUGGAUGUCAACCAUAUGACACAAUAUCCAUGACUUUCCUGGCUGUACAAAUAGUUCUCUAAUUUGAUGCUAAUAAUAGGAAAUCUUUUUCUUUGGCAAAUACUCUUUUUUAGACUUAACAUUUCAGACACACCCCUCUCCCUGAAAAAAAAAGUUCAAUUUAAUAAUGAUUUUUGUCUGUCUGUGUUUAUUAUACCUGGACCCUGAGAGUACAUUUAUCUUCUGUCAUGGAGUUGAGACAGUAUCUAUUCAGCUGGUUUUCCAGCCCCAAACUUAAGUAGGAUCCUUCACCUGCAGAACAUGGGGCUGGCCUCGCCUUUGAAAGUAGUACCCAUGCUUCAUUUUCCAAUUUGAAACUUAGCAACUGCUUUUUCCAGACCUGAGAGUUUUCCUCCUGCCCAGCUAUUACACACCGCCUCAUUGGAUUCUAAUACAGAUCUGUCACUCCUUCUAGACCUUGAACUCCUUAAGAACAAGGACAGUGUCUCACUUGUCUCUGCAUUCCAUAGUUCAUUAUGAAACGAAGGCCUUUAAGAAUUAUUUGCAAAAUCUGUAUUGCAUUCUUAUCCUAAAAGUUUGUAAAUUGGGCCAUCAAAUGUGUGAAAAAGAGCAAAUACCAUGUAUGCAAAUCUCAGAACUUGACUUCUCAUAAUAAUAGUAAUUAUUAUUAUUGUUUUGAGAUGAGCCUCUAUUGCCCAAGCUGGAGUUCAGUGGUGCAAUCUCAGCUCACAGCAACCUCUGUCUCCUGGAUUCAAGUGAUUCUUCUGUCUCAGCAUCCUGAGUAGCUGGGACUACUGGCACGUGGAACCAUGCCUGGCUAGUUUUUUUGUUGUGAUUUUUCUGUAGAGAAGGGUUUCACCAUAUUGGCCAUGCUGGUCCCAAAUUCCUGACCUUGUGAUCCACCUGCCUCAGCCUCCCAAAGUGCUGAGAUUACAAACAUGAGCCACCUCACCUGGCCAAUUAUUUUUUAAAAAGAAGGCAAACCAGGCUGCAGUGGCUCACACGGUACCCAGCCUAGUUUGCACAGGCAAAUAGGGUAAGUAGGUUGCUUAAAAUUGCCCAGAAAUUAAGUGAUCGUUCUGACCCAAGCCAUUUGGCUCUAGAUGCACAUUCAUAAAUCCCUUUGCCAUCUAUUCUUGGCUUACCUCGUUUAAUUUUCUUUUCCUGAGUCCCUCUAAUAAGUUCUUAGCUUCUGUUCUUUUUCUUUAAAAUUGGCACUCAUCUCUGAUUUAUCACCUCUUCUGUCCCCCUGCCCCUAUUCUCUCCCUCCAUUUUCCCUUAUUCUCUUCCUUCUAAUUCCAUUACUGAUGAGAAUCAUAUUGUGUACCUGAAAUUUGUAUUUCAAGCAGCUUUCUGUCAACAACCAGGAGCUUCCUGCAUCCUGCAACUUUAUAGAACAAAAUGCGUAUGAGCGUUAUAAAUCUCUAAGUGCGCAUGUUCUUACUUUGAUGACUGGUUAAGAGAGUGUUUAAAAAUCACCUCCGAUUUUGAGCUUUGAAUUUGGGCUGGGAAAGAUAAUAAAAGCAAUAUAAAGAAAGGGAAAUGAACUUCAAAACCGGCCGCCUGCUUUUCCCUGUAAGAAGACCACUAUAAAUUGUGGAGAUGCUUCUCAAAUACAAUUAGACUCUGCCGCUGCCUGCCGCAUCUCUCCACACUGCAUCACUGUUCUCGAAAUCACUGAAGCCUCUCUUGGGACACUAGGUAAUCUGAAGAAAGAAUAGAGUGUUCAGGCAACACAAGUUCUACAGAGAACUAAGGCACACUGAUUUGCAUUUCUGGGUCAGCAUGAUUUCACUUUCAUUUAACCCUUGUACUGACCCUUGUUUUUCAACACAUUGGCUCCUUCUGCCUUCUGAGACUGUGUGAUGUGCUCAAGCCAAGAAGGUAACCCAAAGCCUUCAAACCUCUCUCCAUGCCCUCUUCAAAUUUCCUGCCAUCAUUGAGGUCCUUUCAGUGAGGAAUUGGCCAACAUUUUAAGUGUCUCUGGAUGCAGGUUUUAUUCACCUUUAAUAAGGUAGUUUUGUGUGUUAAUGUAAAAUGAAAUGAAUAUUAGAAAUCACAUAUUCAGAUAUGCUUGUGGCUGCCAGGGUUUUGUAUUUCCAGCGUGAUUGUUAUAUUCUCUCUAAUCUCUCUCUCUCUCUCUCUCUCUCUCUCUCUCUCUCUCUCUCUCUCUCUCUCUUUGUCUCUUUGGUAGGAGUAAUGCUGAGAAUCUUAUGAAAACCCACAGUGUGUCAGAAGGACAGACAUGACAUAUUUCUAUUUGUCUUAUUCACAGUGAAAUUUCCAGUAAGAGAGAGCAAAGACCCCCAACAAGACUUAAUUACUUGCACCUUAACAAGUGCAGGUCGUUAUUUGUUUAUGUGCAAUGAGGUCCACUUGGCUGGAAGAACCUUGUAUAAAAGUAAAGGUGCAUUGCAGAAUGCAAAGUGCUGGAUAAAUGCUGGCUAUGAACCCAAUGUUAAAAUAAUUGAGAUGAAAUGUUGAUUAAUUAUUUGCCCAAAAGAGGUUUACCUCGAUCAGUAAGAAUAAUGUUAUUGCUUUUUUUCUUAAUUGUAAAAGUAAUAGCUGGAUGCAGUGGCUCACGCCUGUUAUCCCAGCACUUUGGGAGGUGGAGGCAGGCAGAUCAUUUGAGGUCAGGAGUUUGAAACCAGCCUGGCCAACAUGGUGAAACCCUGUUUCUACUAAAAAUACAAAACAAUUAGCCGGGCAUGGUGGCAUGCACCUGUAAUUCCAGCUACUUGGUAAGCUGAGUCAGGAGAACUACUUAAACCUGGGAGGUGGAGGUUGCAGUGAGGUGAGAUCACACCACUGUACUCCAGCCUGGGCGACAGAGCAAGA
Callithrix jacchus (white-tufted-ear marmoset) is the source of this 13841-nucleotide long non-coding RNA. RefSeq lists it as uncharacterized. The record is from RefSeq and is a predicted model, not a curated record. Lineage: Eukaryota; Metazoa; Chordata; Mammalia; Primates; Cebidae.